RNAcentral lists this ribosomal RNA (497 nucleotides) under uncultured bacterium. Its description in RNAcentral is "partial 16S ribosomal RNA". It matches the Rfam family "Bacterial small subunit ribosomal RNA", at positions 28 to 507 of the family's 1533-position model. The record is from RNAcentral.
GACGAACGCUGGCGGCGUGCCUAAUACAUGCAAGUUGAGCGCUGAAGGUUGGUACUUGUACCAACUGGAUGAGCAGCGAACGGGUGAGUAACGCGUGGGGAAUCUGCCUUUGAGCGGGGGACAACAUUUGGAAACGAAUGCUAAUACCGCAUAAAAACUUUAAACACAAGUUUUAAGUUUGAAAGAUGCAAUUGCAUCACUCAAAGAUGAUCCCGCGUUGUAUUAGCUAGUUGGUGAGGUAAAGGCUCACCAAGGCGAUGAUACAUAGCCGACCUGAGAGGGUGAUCGGCCACAUUGGGACUGAGACACGGCCCAAACUCCUACGGGGGGCAGCAGUAGGGAAUCUUCGGCAAUGGACGAAAGUCUGACCGAGCAACGCCGCGGGAGUGAAGAAGGGUUUCGGAUCGUAAAACUCGGUUGGUAGAGAAGAACGUUGGUGAGAGUGGAAAGCUCAUCAAGUGACGGUAACUACCCAGAAAGGGACGGCUAACUACGUG